UUCUCUUUCUUCAGAUGAUGAUCCCAAGCCUUCUGGCGAUCUAGACAAAACAAGUCCACCGUGGGCUUUGAAAAACGCUUUCCUUGAUAAAAUUUAAGCGUUUUAUAAGAGGAUGCCGGGGAAGGUUUUCCGGUUUAUCCCGGAGGGCUUGUAGCUCAGUUGGUUAA
Molecule: unclassified non-coding RNA, 167 nt
Filed under: uncultured Bartonella sp.
Lineage: Bacteria; Pseudomonadati; Pseudomonadota; Alphaproteobacteria; Hyphomicrobiales; Bartonellaceae
Description: partial 16S-23S ribosomal RNA intergenic spacer
Source: RNAcentral